Molecule: ribosomal RNA, 752 nt
Filed under: uncultured soil bacterium
Lineage: Bacteria
Description: bacterial SSU rRNA
Rfam family: Bacterial small subunit ribosomal RNA
Source: RNAcentral
CAAACAGGAUUAGAUACCCUGGUAGUCCACGCCGUAAACGAUGUCGACUUGGAGGUUGUGCCCUUGAGGCGUGGCUUCCGGAGCUAACGCGUUAAGUCGACCGCCUGGGGAGUACGGCCGCAAGGUUAAAACUCAAAUGAAUUGACGGGGGCCCGCACAAGCGGUGGAGCAUGUGGUUUAAUUCGAUGCAACGCGAAGAACCUUACCUGGUCUUGACAUCCACGGAAGUUUUCAGAGAUGAGAAUGUGCCUUCGGGAACCGUGAGACAGGUGCUGCAUGGCUGUCGUCAGCUCGUGUUGUGAAAUGUUGGGUUAAGUCCCGCAACGAGCGCAACCCUUAUCCUUUGUUGCCAGCGGUCCGGCCGGGAACUCAAAGGAGACUGCCAGUGAUAAACUGGAGGAAGGUGGGGAUGACGUCAAGUCAUCAUGGCCCUUACGACCAGGGCUACACACGUGCUACAAUGGCGCAUACAAAGAGUAGCGACCUCGCGAGAGCAAGCGGACCUCAUAAAGUGCGUCGUAGUCCGGAUUGGAGUCUGCAACUCGACUCCAUGAAGUCGGAAUCGCUAGUAAUCGUGGAUCAGAAUGCCACGGUGAAUACGUUCCCGGGCCUUGUACACACCGCCCGUCACACCAUGGGAGUGGGUUGCAAAAGAAGUAGGUAGCUUAACCUUCGGGAGGGCGCUUACCACUUUGUGAUUCAUGACUGGGGUGAAGUCGUAACAAGGUAACCACUAGUGGAUCCGAGCUCCU